This 334-nucleotide unclassified non-coding RNA is filed under the name soil metagenome. RNAcentral describes it as "partial contains 5.8S ribosomal RNA, internal transcribed spacer 2, and large subunit ribosomal RNA". The stretch from base 1 to 120 matches the Rfam family "5.8S ribosomal RNA", at positions 35 to 154 of the family's 154-position model. The record is from RNAcentral.
GAUGAAGAACGCAGCGAAAUGCGAUAAGUAAUGUGAAUUGCAGAAUUCAGUGAAUCAUCGAAUCUUUGAACGCACAUUGCGCCCCCCAGUAUUCUGGCGGGCAUGCCUGUUCGAGCGUCAUUUCAACCAUCAAGCCCUGCUUGUGUUGGGGUCCUGCGGCUGCCCGCAGGCCCCGAAAACCAGUGGCGGGCUCGCUAGUCACACCGAGCGCAGUAGCACAUCUCGCUCAGGGCGUGCGGCGGGCUCCAGCCGUUAAAGCACCCACCUUUCGCAAGGUUGACCUCGGAUCAGGUAGGAAUACCCGCUGAACUUAAGCAUAUCAAUAAGCGGAGGA